RNAcentral lists this non-coding RNA (29 nucleotides) under Macaca fascicularis (crab-eating macaque). Lineage: Eukaryota; Metazoa; Chordata; Mammalia; Primates; Cercopithecidae. The record is from RNAcentral. RNAcentral also lists the same sequence under 1 other name.
UUCUUCCUACAUGCUGUGGUCAUCAGAGA